GGAAGGAUCAUUAACAAAGCUUGAAGUUCGCUCAACCGCGUCUUCAACAAAUCCAUCCACACCUUGUGCAAUAUUGACCUCGAGGCAAGUUCUUUCGAGAAUUUGCUGGUCUUGUGGGGGGAAAAACCUAAAGGAUAGGCAGCAAUGCUUAACCUUUAAGCCCCCCAAAAGUAUUUAACCUAUUCGUUUUUUGUUUGUCUGAAACUUUUUAUUGAUACAAUAAAAACAACUUUCAACAACGGAUCUCUUGGUUCUCGCAUCGAUGAAGAACGCAGCGAAAUGCGAUACGUAAUGUGAAUUGCAGAAUUCAGUGAAUCAUCGAAUCUUUGAACGCACAUUGCACUCUUUGGUAACCCGAAGAGUAUGCCUGUUUCAGAUAUAAGUCACUAUGAACUCUGAGGGGGUGUUUGCCAACUCAGUUUUCAUGACUUGAACUUUCCAGACUCAUUACGCGUCUGGUGGUUUAAAAUAAAAGCAUGGACGGUCUUCUUGACUCAUCCGCACGCAAAAGUGUAAUACGAGCUGUCAAAGGCUUCAUUCACUUCUUGCUAGGACGUCAGAUGUAUCGAUUUAAUCCAUGGUCGCAGGAAAUCGGGGGACUACGCAAGUAGAACCUAUCCAUAGCGGCAUCUGAAAUCAGGUAGGACUACCCGCUGAACUUAAGCAUAUCAAUAAGCGGAGGAAAAGAAACUAACAAGGAUUCCCCUAGUAACGGCGAGUGAAGCGGGAAAAGCUCAAAUUUGAAACCUGGCCUCUUCGAGGAAAAUGUCGCAGGGUUGUAGUUUAUAGAGGCGUUUUCGAUGGAAUCCUGGGUAUAAGUCUUUUGGAACAAGGCAUCAUAGAGGGUGAGAAUCCCGUCUUUGACUCAGAGUUUUCCAUUAUGUGAUACGUCUUCAUAGAGUCGAGUUGUUUGGGAAUGCAGCUCAAAAUGGGUGGUAAAUCUCAUCUAAAGCUAAAUAUUGGCGAGAGACCGAUAGCGAACAAGUACCGUGAGGGAAAGAUGAAAAGAACUUUGAAAAGAGAGUUAAACAGUACGUGAAAUUGUUGAAAGGGAAACGUUUGAAAUCAGUCAUUUCUUCUGGAAAUCAGCCUUGCUUUUGCAUGGUGUAUUUUCCAGUUGAAAGGUUAACGUCAAUUUUGGUUGUCGGAUAAAAGCCUUUGGAAUGUGGCUCUCUUCGGGGAGUGUUAUAGCCAAGGUCAAUACGAUGGCUGGGAUUGAGGAUUCGCCGCCAAUGCUCUCUGGGCAGUGGCAUCAUGCGCUCAGGUUAACACUCUGCUAGACAGCUUGCUGACUAGUAGUUUGAAGAUUUGACUCGUGUGGUUCCCACUAAUUGGCGUAGGACGUUAACUUAAUGGUUUUAAACGACCCGUCUUGAAACACGGACCAAGGAGUCUAACAUAUAUGCGAGUAUUUGGGUGGCAAACCCAUAUGCGUAAUGAAAGUGAACAUAGGUGGGAUCCUCACGGAGCACCAUCGACCGGUCUGGAUUUUUUAAUGAAAGAUCUGAGUAGGAGCAUAUAUGCUGGGACCCGAAAGAUGGUGAACUAUGCCUGAAUAGGGUGAAGCCAGGGGAAACCCUGGUGGAGGCUCGUAGCGAUUCUGACGUGCAAAUCGAUCGUCAAAUUUGGGUAUAGGGGCGAAAGACUAAUCGAACCAUCUAGUAGCUGGUUCCUGC
RNAcentral lists this unclassified non-coding RNA (1676 nucleotides) under uncultured fungus. Its description in RNAcentral is "sequence contains 18S rRNA gene, ITS1, 5.8S rRNA gene, ITS2, 28S rRNA gene". The stretch from base 627 to 1676 matches the Rfam family "Eukaryotic large subunit ribosomal RNA", at positions 1 to 961 of the family's 3401-position model. The record is from RNAcentral. Lineage: Eukaryota; Fungi.